CUACGGAGGGUGCGAGCGUUAAUCGGAAUUACUGGGCGUCAAGGGCGCGUAGGCGGUCUAUCAAGUCAGGUGUGAAAUCCCACGGCUCAACCGUGGAGGUGCAUCUGAAACUGAUAGACUUGAGUAUGGGAGAGGAAAGUGGAAUUCCCGGUGUAGAGGUGAAAUUCGUAGAUAUCGGGAGGAACACCAGUGGCGAAGGCGACUUUCUGGACCAAUACUGACGCUGAGGCGCGAAAGCGUGGGGAGCAAACAGGAUUAGAAACCCUUGUAGUCC
RNAcentral lists this ribosomal RNA (274 nucleotides) under uncultured bacterium. RNAcentral describes it as "partial 16S ribosomal RNA". It matches the Rfam family "Bacterial small subunit ribosomal RNA", at positions 523 to 796 of the family's 1533-position model. The record is from RNAcentral.